Molecule: non-coding RNA, 7214 nt
Organism: Podarcis lilfordi (Lilford's wall lizard)
Lineage: Eukaryota; Metazoa; Chordata; Lepidosauria; Squamata; Lacertidae
Source: the annotation of a GenBank genome assembly
AUUUCGCAAAGGGACAAACACACUGGUUAUGCACAGCUCAGUUGCAUUUCUGAAAAGUUGCAUUGUGCAGAAAAAAUAGAUGUCUCAAGACAAAUGUCAGCCAUAGUAGUUAGACAUGAUAUACAAGUGCUUUCUCCUUGUGAUAAUAAAAAUUUAACCCGAAGAAUAAGACAUUACCCACAAGUUGCUUUAGACAUAUGACAUGCAUUUGGCAAUCAUUCAGACACUCUUUAUCACUGUUUUAGGAUAAAUGGGUAAACCUGCUAUCACAAGUCUUUGCAAAGCAGUAGUCAAAACACCCUAGAGCAGUACAUUAUAUGUUAAGUGUUUCACUUUCCUGUUAAAAAUGUAUUUUUGUAUUUAUUCUGUGGAAAUGCCUCUAGAUUCCUGGGAUAGUGCAUCAGAUAACAGGUUCCUAGACUUUUUAGUAUGAAAGGCACACUUAAGGGACAGAAAAGGAAUUUGGCGCAAUGAAUUUGACGUAAAGAAUAUUUCGGAUGCCAGUACUGUUUACAUUUCUGGGAUUUGUUCCCUUGCAUUUCACUGCUGGAAAGUGUGAGGCAGCUACUCUGAUGUAAUAAUUUGAACAGUGAUUAGCAAAUUCAUAAAAGGACUAGCGAAACAGUGGUGUUUUUGUGUUAGAUAGUCAAUAGCAUUUAAAAGAAAAGUGAGAUGCCUCCCCAGUUCUAAAUUGAGCUUGUAGUGUCAGCAGAUUGAAGCUCCAGAAACAAUGAAUUAAUGGCAUGUUAAAAAUUGGAAUUGGCUAAGGCUGCUUCCUGAGGGCUAUAAUCUAGGGAUGUGUGUGUGAUUGGGAUGGUGGUGUUGGAAUUUAGGCUUUGAAGCAGGCACAUAUAUUUGUGUACUUACCGUAAAUCCUUGUAUCAUUUAAGAUCGGUACGAAAAUAAAGCUUUAGUUUAUUUCUGGCCCAAACAUAUAUUUGUAACUCCAGUCAUAAUGGAGCAAAGAAAUGUAACAAGAAUGUUUUACCAUUUUAUUUAUAAAAUACUCUGUGUUAGAUCCAAACACUGCGCUACUUUCUAUUUUUCAUAAUUUGCUUCUUCAGCAAGAAAUUUGAACCAUAGUUUUAGAAUUUUUGUCCUAUCUGCUUUCUUUCUUUGUUGUUGUUGUAUCCACUGAUGUCCUGACAAUUAUAGCAACAUGAUAUUUUAAGCAUGCCAUAAUAAGAAAUGUGACUUAACUAAUUGUAUUACUUUGAUAAAUCCUAUUAGAGUCUGUGCGAUUCUUCUCCACAAAUAUAAGGAAGAGCCCUGAAAUAGCUAAAUAUUUAAACGCUGUAAGCUUCAGUUUCACUGCAAAUGACAGAUGAAAUUCUCCAUAGGCAGGCCAUAUAAAUCUAACUAUCAUCUGGCAAAGUGGGCUCUGGCCUAUGAAAGCUUGCACUGCCAUAAAACAUAGUAUUUAAGAUGUCACAGAACUGCUUUUUUUAAAAAAAAUGUAACCGACUAACACAACAACCAUUAAAGUGUGCAAUUCUUCCAUAGCUUAAAGGGAGGCGAGAAGGCAAAAUACACAGUAGAAACAGUCCAAUGUUUCUGGACAAAGUUUCACUCAUAUGAUACUUUAUUAGAAGCUAAUGUAAAUUUUAUUAGUCUUCCAAGAGAUUUGCCGCCCUAUCCUUAAAUAGUAAGUUUAUUGCUUUUAAUUGGAAGUAGAACUCUUAGGGUUACAGUCUAAACCAAAUGAUUAUAAACCUUCCUUUAUGCUUAAAGUAUUAUUAUUCCAACAGCUUUUCCUGGGUUCAGAGCUUCCCUGGGCUUGAACCACAGUUCAGACAUGUGCAAAUUCAUCCUUGCCCUGCAGCUCUGUGGCCAAUGAUGUAUGUACACAUCUUAUUGAUAUUGUUAUGUUACUAUCUACAAGUCUACUAAAAUUUUUGCGGUCGGCUUUGACAAUUUUCAGGUUGUAAAACACAAGUUGCAAUGAACCAAUAAGAAGAUGCUCCAAAACUUGCUUUCUCCAUAUACGUAUUUUCCUUACCAGUAAUUAUAAAUUUGCUGUUGAGUAGACCUGGGUUUCAUUUUUUCUCAUGUGUUUACAAAAGUGUUUAUUGUGUGGUACAAAUUUGUCAAAAUAUUGGGUUGGAUGAAACGAAUCCCAAGUCAAAUGCAUUAACACUGUGUUGUGCAUAAGCACUAUUUGAAUAUUUCAUGCAGCAAAGAAAGCCCCAAUGCUAGAGUCCAAAAGGUUCCCCAUUGAAUAGCAAGACUUGCUUUGUACUUGCUGCUUUGGGAUUUGCAGUUAUUGCAAGCCCUUUCUAGUGGGAAACUGCUUUUGCUCCUGCUUAUUUAGCAGAUGUGUAAGGAAUUUAAACUCUGAGGGAGGAAUUCAACUAAGGAGAUUGUUCCAUUGGCGCAAGCCUUUCAGCUUGCCAGAUGGGAAGAUCUCACCCCUCCCCCAUGCGCUGUACUGGGGGUUCCCCGACCCAAUUUGAGGGGCGUAUGGGGGCAUGAAGGGGAGGAGAGGGGAAGAAAAGCCCCAUUUCACCAGCAAAAGACCUUCCUCUGGCUUGCAGUAGCGUAACUCAUUAGUUAACUCUGAACCUAAAAAGUUAAAGGACAAUAAUCCUUGAUAUGUAGCCACUUGUGCAAUAGAAAUCCACUUAUGCAGUUGGGUUUCAGUAUGAAAUAUAUAGCAGUCUGUGUGGGAUGUGUAGAACUGGGGAAUUUGGACUCAUGAAUGUACUGGCCAUCAUUGCCAGGUGGUAGCCAAGGAGAUAAGAUUAGCCCAGGUUUCACAGUUUAAAUGUGCCCACAGAGAAUACUAGCAGGAUAUGUAGGUUGAUGAUGCCAUUGGCUUCCGUCAGCACAACUACUUCAAAUCAUGCAUCUCUGCAGAGAUGUAGCACGUCACCCUACAAAUUCAUUUUUUUUUUGUAUCCCCGUCCCCCAAAUAGUGAUUUAAGUCACUAAACACACAACUCCCACCUCAACCUUUCCUGGUAGUGGUGACUGAAUAUCACAGUUUCUGUAGCUGCACCUGUUGCUGCUGACGUUUAGUCAGUCAUACUAUCAGAUUUUGGUAUUACCUUCAUUUCAGUAAUGUUGGUCAGCUGGGCUGUUCUCAGUUUUAUAACAUGCCAGAACAUUUCUCAAACUACUGUACAGUGAAAAAAAAUAGCUGCAUAGUAUUAAAAUAUUUUUGCGGCUUGUACUAGCAAAUGUACUACAAUUUUACACAUAACGAAUUGUUAUUGUUGCUUGAAAUAUGUUGGAUUAGUUAUUAUUACAUUGUUGAGUAGAAAAAAAGACACUUCUGUUUUCUUUUGUGUGUGUGUGAGAGAGUUGGUGCAGUUUUCUUCCAGUCACCUAAAGUGGGUGAGGAUUUAACCUCAUUUUUCUAAACUGUUUCAGCUUAGAACUCAACUCAACUCAUAUUCUUUGGCAGGGCUCAACAACUUGGCUUCUGAUAAUGAAGGUAGAAAGAUUUUAUUUUUAAUAAACCUGGCAGCAAUCUUAUUUUCCCUCAUUAUUUGUCAUAGCAGUGUACUGGAAGACACUAAUUGUGCUGGGCAUAUGGACUUAAGCAACUCCUCCUUUAACAAGUUGCCCCACAAUUGGAGGAGCAAUCAGAGGCUACAAGCUCCCCUUCAACCAAGACUAAUCCAACUGCCAAAGUUGUGACAUUUGCUAUGAGGUAUGCAAAACCAUUAGGUUGGAGCCAGUUUGCCGGGUGGACAAUUUCCUGCCUGGCACCGAAUACACGCCCAACAAUGUCAUACCAAGGUCAGAAUACCCAAGACACAGCAUGAACAAAAGGGGGUUGUUGGGUGUAGCAUCUGAUGAGGGUGACCAGGUGUCGGGACCAGGGCAGGCUGCUUUAGCCAUGUUCAAAUAUAUAAAAGGAUGUCACAUAGAAGCGGACACGGAGCAAUGGAUCCAAACUACAAGAAAGAAGAUUCCACCUAAACAUUAGGAAGAACUUCCUGACAGUAAGAGCUGUUCGACAGUGGAAUUUGCUGCCAAGGAGUGUGGUGGAGUCUCCUUCUUUGGAGGUCUUUAAGCAGAGGCUUGACAACCAUAUGUCAGGAGUGCUCUGAUGGUGUUUCCUGCUUGGCAGGGGGUUGGACUCGAUGGCCCUUGUGGUCUCUUCCAACUCUAUGAUUCUAUGAAAUGCCUCGGGAGUGAGCCUGAAGGAAGCCUACCUGCUCCGUCAGGCCUGCCCCUGAGGCAGGCCCUCCCUCCAAGCCUGCCUGUCAUUGGCCAAUCAUGUAGGCAGGCUUGGAUCCAAAUCCUGGUUGGUGUGGGGAGCUUCCAAACCCCCUUGCCAUCCAGGCAGUCCCAGCAACCUGAACCCAUGAUGGAUCUAGUGGAAGAGGCAUCACCAGCCUGCAACGCUGCCUUACCUGGGAAGGGGUUAGUGGACUUGUAAAAAAAAAAUAUGAGUCUUAGAAGGAAGUAGUAGGUAAUUAGGAAAGGGACGGAAAGCAAAGGACAGGACAAGGAGGCCUAAAGUGGAAGGUGACCAGCAGUGGAGACUGGUGAGUAUGUUCACUAAGCAAAACUGCAAAUGACUACUGCUUGGCAACAGAGAGCGAGGGACUUUCCACACCAGCAGGAACAGCGGAAGUGGGGGUGUCAAAGUCAGGAUUGUGUAAGUGCAUGGGGUCUGACUGGGGUGUGUGUGUGUCCACUCCCUGAUUGGAGCAACUUGUGUCUGUGCCUCCACCUCUCUGCAUGCACGUUUAAUGAGGAUCGCCCCUUUGGGGCUCACUCAGAAUCAUACCCUAGGAAGUUGCUUUUAUCUCCGCGAAGAGUCUUAAUCCAAGACCUGUAUCUUUCCUGGGUAGGAAAAAUGCCCCAGGGAAGGGAAAUUCGAUUGUAUAAAGGGCUGGCAAGGGAAGUACUACAUGCUCUGACCCUCUCCUACAUAGCCUGGCUCUCUACUGAAGGUUCCAGCUUCCUACGGUUGCUUUUGGGUGGGUGGGGGGGAGAAAGAAUAAUGGAACUACAAAUCAUAUGUUGCUUGACACAGUGCCUGCUGUGACUUGCUAGUCCCUGUGAGUAGGAAGCUCACAGUAAUAAAAAUAAAUUGUACAUGACUUAAAUUGUGUUGUGUUCUUAUUUGACUCAAAAGUCAAACAUUGUCCAUAUGGCUCUUUUUACUUAGAAAAGUAGCCAUUAACUUUGUGGAUUUCAUAAAGGACAAUUGAUUUUAGUUAUAAGGUUAGAAGUGUGUGCCUUAACAUGUUUGAAAAUCCGAUACCAUUUUAACUCAUUUCUGUAGGUACCACUAAUAAUUAGGUACUAAUUAAUUUAUAAUUAAUCUAGGUACUAAUUAUGUUUCUUUAAAAGCAUUAAAAAAAUAAAAUAAAGUAUGAUUUCAAGUUUUUUUAAGGUUUGUGAUGCAUCACAGAAACUGGUGGUGAUGCUCUCUAAAUUUCUAUUCGGCACUGGGUUUCUUGCAAACAUUUCGUUAAGAAUGUUUAGAUAUUCAUUCUAUAUUAUGCACCAUCAGUUUAAAAAUGCACUCCAGCUUCCCAUAAUUGCUCCCUGCCUCUCUCCUGCUUUCCUCAUGGUACUUGCAAAGUGUAUGCCCAAACUGGGAUAUCUUUCUUGGUCUUAGAUGUAGAACCCUUCUUUCUAGGUUCCAGUUCAUAAUUUGGUGAUCUGCACCAGUUUACAGGUUUGCCCUCAGUGGAAAUUACAUGAAAGGUUUGGACAAGUAAUUUUCAAACUGUCUGUUUAAUUCAGUAUUCUCCGAGAGCAGUUGUGCCACAUUCUGCAGGUGCCUUUGACUAUAGUUGAAUUAGCUAUUUUUAAAAACGUUGAUGGAUAAACAUUAUGUAUAUUCGGGGGAAAUGUGUGUGUAGCUUUGACAGCAAUGAUGUAGGGAGCCGUGACACUUGAAAGACCAAACAGGAAGGGAAGCAGAAAGGUUUAGAAUAUGGUUUUUCUUAACAGCAGGUUCUAAUGGAAACAUGGGCCCUUGCAUUUAUUCAGCACUGAGAGAAUUGCUAGUUUGAUAAUGACUAGGAAUGUUGUUAUUAAAACAGUGUGUGCAGUUCAUUUUCAACAGUUUUGAAUUAGAGUCUUCACUAAUGAAACGGAUACGGUUUCUUUCACAAAGGGCAGAUCUGUUAGUUAAUAUAGCUGCUGCAGUGCCUUGUGGACCAUGCCUUUAGCUCUAUUUGUAUUUCACAGCAUGAUAAGCAAAGAGUGUUGAUUUUCAAGGAUCCUGCUGAUGAAAGGUAAUGGCAUUAUUACAUCUUUAUCUCAAAAACAGAACUGUGUGGUAAAUGAUUCUCCCUUUCUUCCUUGCACCUCCCUCCCCUAAUUCUCUCUCAGUUUCCUUAUGGCACAAAAGAUUUCUUGGUUAGAAAAUCCCCUUUUUUAUUUCUUUAAGUCACUUUAGCCUUGGAAAUGAUAUGUUAUUAUUUAAUGUCUGCACAGCAAGCCUGAGAGCACCUAAUAGCGAGUGGAUUGGAAGUGAAGGGCCUCCUGCUUGCAGAUAUGGAUCGGCUCAGUCACACGCUGUACCAGCUGUCAUCUCGGCCAUACUGCUGUGAUUUAAUUAGUCUGUUUAUGUCCUUUCUAAUAAUAUUUCCAUCUCUAUGAAAGGGCAAAUGCGACAGGGACUUCUUUCCCGCUCUCCGGGUUCCACACACUGAGGAAUGUGGCCUACAUCCGAUAUGCUAAGAUGCAGGAUUGAAUCACCAUUCCUGUCAUUUCAAGCUGUUGAUAAAUUGUUCAGCCAAGAAAUGUACUUACUUCCUUGGGGUCAUUUGUGUGCUAGGGCCUAUAAUCUGCACUGCAAAGGGACGAACGAACGAAAGAGAAUACAAAGACAAGGAUGUUGUGGUUGUGCAUAGGAGACCAAAUUCCACUAGCGGGAUAGAAAUUGUUUUAAUCAUAUCUUCCCCCUAUUGGUCAUGCAAACGCUUGGAAUAAUUAUUUUUAUCCUUCCAUCAGAAGAAGCUACAACUGCCGCCUGUUAAAUUUCAUUAGACCAGCAUUGCAAUCCUAUUACAUACCUGCUCAAAUGCAAACCCUACUGAUUUCAGUGGGGCGUUCUGCAAAGUAAGCGUGUGUAAGGAUUGCAGCCUUAGGGUUAAUAGUGAAAUAAUGGAGUUUAGAUGCACUUUCGUUUGACUUCUUGUACAUUUUUGCCACAUUGCAAGACCUCAGGUCUAGUAUAUUUAAACCAUAAAUAUAUCAAAAUAGAGGGGAAGUGGCCAAGUAGAGGUAGUACUGCC